Molecule: ribosomal RNA, 776 nt
Filed under: uncultured Neocallimastigales
Lineage: Eukaryota; Fungi; Neocallimastigomycota; Neocallimastigomycetes; Neocallimastigales
Description: partial large subunit ribosomal RNA
Rfam family: Eukaryotic large subunit ribosomal RNA
Source: RNAcentral
CAUAGCGACUAUCGUGGCAUAUCAAUAAGCGGAGGAAAAGAAACUAACUAGGAUUCCCUCAGUAACGGCGAGUGAAGCGGGAAGAGCUCAAAUUUGAAAUCUUCAAGGUUCUACCUUGACGAAUAGUAGUUUAAAGAAGUGUUUUCUGUUGAGUGUUUGGUAAAAGUUCUUUGGAAUAGGACAUCAUAGAGGGUGAGAAUCCCGUAUUUGAUCAUUAUUUCCAGCUGUGUGAUACACUUUCAAAGAGUCGGAUUGUUUGGGAAUGCAGUCCAAAAUGGGUGGUAAAUUUCAUCUAAAGCUAAAUAUUGGCGAGAGACCGAUAGCGAACAAGUACCGUGAGGGAAAGAUGAAAAGAACUUUGAAAAGAGAGUUAAACAGUACGUGAAAUUGUCAAAAGGGAAGCGUUUGACACCAGUGUUGUUUCUCCGAAAAUCAAUUACGAAUGUUUUAUUUCUGAGAGAAGUUAUGACUUCAUCGGCUUGCUUCUUUCUUUAUGAAACUUUCUUAAUGCACUUUUCGGUUAACAAGUCAACAUCAAUUUCUUUUGUUGUAAAAGGGUAUGAGGAAGGUGGCUUUCUUUUCGGAGAAAGUGUUUAUAGCCUUGUGCCUCUGCAAUCGGAGAGAUUGAGGUCUGCAGCGUAGAUCCUUCGGGGUUAGAUACGUUUGUGCUAAGUUAUAGCUUUUCAUAGACAACUUGUUGACUAUGUUUAGUCCUGUAGCUUACUCGCUGACGCUAUUUUACCUACGCUUAGGAUGUUGAUAUGCAUGACUGAUAU